RNAcentral lists this unclassified non-coding RNA (1017 nucleotides) under Leishmania donovani. RNAcentral describes it as "gene:LdHU3.34.0420(CDS-product:Regulatory_subunit _of_type_II_PKA_R-subunit_putative)". The record is from RNAcentral. Lineage: Eukaryota; Euglenozoa; Kinetoplastea; Trypanosomatida; Trypanosomatidae.
CCAAUCAGUGAGCACACGCGUAUAGAAAGUUCCUCUUGUUUCAACGUGCAGAACAUGGCGGACACCACAGCCACCACUCUCAUGGCGGAGCCUACGCUAGAGGAGGCAGCGGCAGCCGUUUUCAGUAAAGAGGAGCUCGCAGCGCUCAAGACCAAUCUACGCUCAGAGCAGAUAGCACAGGCUAAGUACCUGCGCGAUCACCCAGAGAUCCACGAAGCCGUGCAGGAAGCGUUAGCAAGAGUGCUGCAGGCCCAGCCGGAGGACCCGGUGGCCUUUCUCACCCAAUACUUCAUGAGUGAGGAGUUUCUGCACCAGCGACCCCAGUGACGAUGGCGCACCGUCUUUUCUCCAUCAGCCCUUGCACCCUCACCUCUUCGUCGGCCGCUCGCCAACUCGGAAAGUGGCGCGCUUCGUCUCCCUCCCUCCCUCCCUUCUUUCUCUGCAUCGCUUGACAGCCCGCGUUUGCCGUUGCCUUCUUUUCUUAUACAGCAUGUACCGUAGCCCCCCCCACCGGCCACCACCACCACUGUUUGACAAUGAGAGGCAUCUACUCUCUUCCACUCCACCAAACAGUCAGCAAUGACGACCACUACAUGGGCAAGCUCACGAUAUCAGGCGAGCAGGGAAACCACUUCACGGCCGUGCCGCACGGUGGCCUCCCAUACCCCUCUCUGGCACUCCUCUCCUGUCAUCUCCAAAGAAUAAGUCUGUGUGUGUGUGUGAGUGUGUGCUCCGCGGGGUUUUCGCAGAGGAUGGAGGCUGUGUGGCGUUCGUGGGGAGGGGUUGGUGAAGGGAUGGCCACCCCUCCUCUCAUCACAGCUGCAUGGCGUGUUUCCACGGCGUAUCUCCUCGCCCUGUCUUUUUGUGGUUAGUGUCGCUGCCUUUCUACAUCUCAGGGCUGCCGCUGCUGCCCUCUCCUCCCUCCCUCCCCCACCUCAGCGCCGCCAUCGCAGCCACUUCAUGCCCAAUAUCAUCUCUUCUUCUCUCACGCUCUUCGUCUCGCUACUCCAUCUCAAG